AAUAUUGGAAAAUGGGGGCAACCCUGAUCCAGCCAUGCCGCGUGUGUGAAGAAGGUCUUCGGAUUUUAAAGCACUUUAAGUUGGGAGGAAGGGCUUUAGGUUGAUACCCUGAAGUUUUGACGUUACCAACAGAAUAAGCACCGGCUAACUCGGUUCCAGCAGCCGCGGUAAUAAAAAGGGUGCAAGAGUUAAUCGGAAUUAAGGGGCGUAAAGCGGGCGUAGGUGGUUCAGUAAGAUGGGUGUGAAAUCCCCGGGCUUAACCUGGGAACUGCUUUCAUAACUGCUGAGCUAGAGUACGGUAGAGGGUAGUGGAAUUUCCUGUGUAGCGGUGAAAUACGUAGAUAUAGGAAGGAACACCAGUGGCGAAGGCGACUACCUGGACUGAUACUGACACUGAGGUGCGAAAGCGUGGGGAGCAAACA
This 422-nucleotide ribosomal RNA is filed under the name uncultured bacterium. RNAcentral describes it as "partial 16S ribosomal RNA". It matches the Rfam family "Bacterial small subunit ribosomal RNA", at positions 360 to 774 of the family's 1533-position model. The record is from RNAcentral.